GAUGAAGAACGCAGCGAAAUGCGAUAAGUAAUGUGAAUUGCAGAAUUCAGUGAAUCAUCGAAUCUUUGAACGCACCUUGCACCCUUUGGCAUUCCGAAGGGUAUGCUCGUUUGAGUGUCAUUGUACUCUCACUCUCCCGUUGCUUUUGGAUCGGGAGUGGUGGACUUGGGUGUUGCUGCUUUGCUGUGGCUCGCCUCAAAUGGAGUAGUGCAACUCUUGGUUGGACAUAGUACGGCGUGAUAAGUGUCUUCGCCGGCGCCUCAUUAUAGAGGGUGGCCGAUCGGGAGCUCUGUGCUUCAAACCGUCUUCGGACAACAUCUGACAACUUGACCUCAAAUCGAGUAGGACUACCCGCUGAACUUAAGCAUAUCAAUAAGCGGAGGA
This 384-nucleotide unclassified non-coding RNA is filed under the name soil metagenome. RNAcentral describes it as "partial contains 5.8S ribosomal RNA, internal transcribed spacer 2, and large subunit ribosomal RNA". The stretch from base 1 to 120 matches the Rfam family "5.8S ribosomal RNA", at positions 35 to 154 of the family's 154-position model. The record is from RNAcentral.